GCCCAGACUCCUACGGGAGGCAGCAGUGAGGAAUAUUGGUCAAUGGGCGCAAGCCUGAACCAGCCAAGUCGCGUGAGGGAAGACGGCCCUACGGGUUGUAAACCUCUUUUGCCGGGGAGCAAGCCUGAGCACGUGUGCCCAGGCGGAGAGUACCCGGAGAAAAAGCAUCGGCUAACUCCGUGCCAGCAGCCGCGGUAAUACGGAGGAUGCGAGCGUUAUCCGGAUUUAUUGGGUUUAAAGGGUGCGCAGGCGGGCUGUUAAGCCGGCGGUAAAAAUUCAGGGCUCAACCCUGUCGAGCCGUCGGAACUGGCAGUCUUGAGUGGGCGAGAAGUAUGCGGAAUGCGUGGUGUAGCGGUGAAAUGCUUAGAUAUCACGAAGAACCCCGAUUGCGAAGGCAGCCUGCCGCAGCGUUACUGACGCUGAAGCUCGAAAGCGCGGGUAUCGAACAGGAUUAGAUACCCUUGUA
RNAcentral lists this ribosomal RNA (466 nucleotides) under uncultured bacterium. RNAcentral's name for it is "bacterial SSU rRNA". It matches the Rfam family "Bacterial small subunit ribosomal RNA", at positions 329 to 792 of the family's 1533-position model. The record is from RNAcentral.